CAUGCAGUCGAACGAUGAAGCCUAGCUUGSUGGGUGGAUUAGUGGCGAACGGGUGAGUAACACGUGAGCAACCUGCCCCUGACUCUGGGAUAAGCGCUGGAAACGGCGUCUAAUACUGGAUAUGUCCCAUCACCGCAUGGUGUGUGGGUGGAAAGAUUUUUCGGUUGGGGAUGGGCUCGCGGCCUAUCAGCUUGUUGGUGAGGUAAUGGCUCGCCAAGGCGUCGACGGGUAGCCGGCCUGAGAGGGUGACCGGCCACACUGGGACUGAGACACGGCCCAGACUCCUACGGGAGGCAGCAGUGGGGAAUAUUGCACAAUGGGCGGAAGCCUGAUGCAGCAACGCCGCGUGAGGGAUGACGGCCUUCGGGUUGUAAACCUCUUUUAGCAGGGAAGAAGCGAGAGUGACGGUACCUGCAGAAAAAGCACCGGCUAACUACGUGCCAGCAGAAGCUGCCUUGUGGGUAGUGUCCAGUGCGUUAUCCGGAAUUAUUGGGCGUAAAGAGCUCGUAGGCGGUCUGUCGCGUCUGCUGUGAAAUUCCGAGGCUCAACCUCGGGCUUGCAGUGSGUACGGGCAGACUAGAGUGCGGUAGGGGAGAUUGGAAUUCCUGGUGUAGCGGUGGAAUGCUCAGAUAUCAGGAGGAACACC
RNAcentral lists this ribosomal RNA (646 nucleotides) under actinobacterium CT63. Its description in RNAcentral is "bacterial SSU rRNA". It matches the Rfam family "Bacterial small subunit ribosomal RNA", at positions 54 to 710 of the family's 1533-position model. Lineage: Bacteria; Bacillati; Actinomycetota; Actinomycetes. The record is from RNAcentral.